This 484-nucleotide ribosomal RNA is filed under the name uncultured bacterium. Its description in RNAcentral is "partial 16S ribosomal RNA". It matches the Rfam family "Bacterial small subunit ribosomal RNA", at positions 30 to 507 of the family's 1533-position model. The record is from RNAcentral.
AUUGAACGCUGGCGGCAGGCCUAACACAUGCAAGUCGAGCGGAUGAAGGGAGCUUGCUCCUGGAUUCAGCGGCGGACGGGUGAGUAAUGCCUAGGAAUCUGCCUGGUAGUGGGGGAUAACGUCCGGAAACGGGCCCUAAUACCGCAUACGUCCUGAGGGAGAAAGGGGGGGAUCUUCGAACCUCACGCUAUAAGAUGAGCCUAGGUCGGAUUAGCUAGUUGGUGGGGUAAAGGCCUACCAAGGCGACGAUCCGUAACUGGUCUGAGAGGAUGAUCAGUCACACUGGAACUGAGACACGGUCCAGACUCCUACGGGAGGCAGCAGUGGGGAAUAUUGGACAAUGGGCGAAAGCCUGAUCCAGCCAUGCCGCGUGUGUGAAGAAGGUCUUCGGAUUGUAAAGCACUUUAAGUUGGGAGGAAGGGCAGUAAGUUAAUACCUUGCUGUUUUGACGUUACCAACAGAAUAAGCACCGGCUAACUUCGUG